This is a long non-coding RNA of Gasterosteus aculeatus aculeatus (three-spined stickleback), 1013 nucleotides long. Lineage: Eukaryota; Metazoa; Chordata; Actinopteri; Perciformes; Gasterosteidae. The record is from Ensembl.
AGUUAGAGGUUAGGUGUCAUGCUCCAGGACACUUCGACAUGGGACAUGGAGCAGCUGGAGUUUGAACCGCCAACCUUACAGUUCCCAGCGCACCCUUUCUACUCCAUGCACCACCGUCACCGGUUUCAAGAACUUUAUUGAGAGCUUCCCAUAUUACAAAGGUACAAAGUACACAGACUGCUGUUGCCUCUGUCAAAACAAAAUACAGAUCCAAGCUCAAUAUUGAGCAAAAAUUCAAAGUGGCGGUAUGAAGUCUGCAAUGCUGUUUGGAUAAGAUUUAAGCAGGCUCUUUGCAGCCGCUAAUACAGAUAAAAAAUGUUUUAUCAGUAUGAGAUGGCUCAUACAUAUGUGCACUAAUUUUGUUUUGCACAGGUUGCACAUUAUUGUUGUUUUGAAAACAUAUGCAUCAAGAAAGAAUCAGAGUCCUAGCAAAAUAAAUAUUUGGUGACAAAUAAGGCUUGAGGCCACAAAGACCUUUGGAAAUGUUUUUGUGACCUAAAUAAAUACUUAAUGUCAAACGGUUAAUCAAACAAGUGGACUGGACUUGGACUGGACGUUCUAUUCCCCUUUUCUCACCCAUACAACUGAUCUUUGUUCAGGUUUAUUUAUUUAUUUAUACCCCUUAAUUAACUUAUUUCAUAUGAGAAGAUUUUUGGUGGUUGAUAAAACCUGGAAUUGUUUUUUAUUUGGGGUUUUAAAACAUUAAGCCUAGUCAGCAUAUGCAACAUUUGUACACUUCUAUCCAGGUCAAACUGCUAUUGGCAAAUGGAUAUCAUCUCAGUAGUGGCAUAGGCACUGCUAGUUGGGACAGAGGUAGAAACUCAGGACUCAAUAUGGCAAAAGUCUGACCCACCGUUUGCAAUUUCUAGAUUGUUGCACUCUUUAACAUUGUGUCAAGUUGAGAAAAGCUAAGGUUGAUAUUUUUCACAUUUAUGGAUACUAGCUCACGGAUUGGAGAAAAUAGAUUUUUCUUUAUGACCAUUAAGUAAUUUCCAGCAUAAUAAUUGGUAGCA